AACGAACGCUGGCGGCAUGCCUAACACAUGCAAGUCGAACGAGACCUCCGUGUCUUGUUGCGCUCGGGUGCGUAACGCGUGGGAACUUGCCCUUAGGUUCCGAAUACUUCCCCGUAAGGGGUGCUAAUACCGGAUAAUUUCUUCGCAUCAAAGAUUUACCGCCUUGGGAUGGGCCCGGGUUGGUUUAGCUUGUUGGUAGGGUAAAAGCCUACCAAGGCGUCGAUCCUUAGCUGGUCUGAGAGGAUGACCAGCCACACUGGGACUGAGACACGGCCGAGACUACUACGGGAGGGGGGAGUGGGGAAUAUUGGACAAUGGGCGAAAGCCUGAUCCAGCAAUGCCGGGUGAGUGAUGAAGGCCUUAGGGUUGUAAAGCUCUUUUACCCGGGAUGGUAAUGACAGUACCGGGAGAAUAAGCGCCGGCUAACUCCGUG
RNAcentral lists this ribosomal RNA (433 nucleotides) under uncultured bacterium. Its description in RNAcentral is "partial 16S ribosomal RNA". It matches the Rfam family "Bacterial small subunit ribosomal RNA", at positions 29 to 507 of the family's 1533-position model. The record is from RNAcentral.